GACGAACGCUGGCGGCGUGCCUAAUACAUGCAAGUUGAGCGCUGAAGGUUGGUACUUGUACCAACUGGAUGAGCAGCGAACGGGUGAGUAACGCGUGGGGAAUCUGCCUUUGAGCGGGGGACAACAUUUGGAAACGAAUGCUAAUACCGCAUAAAAACUUUAAACACAAGUUUUAAGUUUGAAAGAUGCAAUUGCAUCACUCAAAGAUGAUCCCGCGUUGUAUUAGCUAGUUGGUGAGGUAAAGGCUCACCAAGGCGAUGAUACAUAGCCGACCUGAGAGGGUGAUCGGCCACAUUGGGACUGAGACACGGCCCAAACUCCUACGGGAGGCAGCAGUAGGGGAUCUUCGGCAAUGGACGAAAGUCUGACCGAGCAACGCCGCGUGAGUGAAGAAGGUUUUCGGGUCGUAAAACUCUGUUGGUAGAGAAGAACGUUGGUGAGAGUGGAAAGCUCAUCAAGUGACGGUAACUACCCAGAAAGGGACGGCUAACUACGUG
RNAcentral lists this ribosomal RNA (497 nucleotides) under uncultured bacterium. RNAcentral describes it as "partial 16S ribosomal RNA". It matches the Rfam family "Bacterial small subunit ribosomal RNA", at positions 28 to 507 of the family's 1533-position model. The record is from RNAcentral.